CGCUGCCAGCCCCAGCUCGCCUGUGGCUCGGGGCAGAUCGAGCCUGGCCCCGGCUCUGCCCUGACCCGCUGGGGCCUGGGCCGCAGCCGGGCGUUCUCCAGCGGGGCCGCUGCUCCUGGGUGAGCUUCGGGACGGGUCAGGACAAGCCCCCAGACAGACACUGGCUGGCCGUGGCCAGGGUCGCGUUUGGGACCCAGUUAGGAAGGGCCCUGCCAGGGGGCCAGAUUCAGAUACCAAUAAUCAUGUCAAACAGUACCUUGCUCCACAAAUACUCCCAUUGACUCCGGAGUAAACUGUUACCCAACAGCAUUAAAGAGAGUGUGUGUGCGCACACGUGUACAUUGCAGGGAAAGCCAUCCUGCCAGAGAGGAGGAGGAUUCAGAGGUGCGGGGAACUCACCAUCAAACUAAACAAUCUGGGAAAAACUCUGCAAGGGGGAUCUGCAGUUUCCUCCCUCCCCAACCAAGCCUCCACCAGUGGAUUCUUCCAUGGGCUAAGCACAACACACAAAGCAAUAUUCAAAAGACAAAUGUUUAUUAGAUACACUGACCUUAAUUUUUUUAAAAAAGAAUUAUGCAAGAAAUACAUUUAAAUAUAACAAGUACAUAACAUGUUAUUGAAAUUCUGUGCUACAUUACAAAAAGGCAUCUUUUUCCACAGCCAACAUAAAGUGAAGAUCUCUAAAACUGGCUUUGUGCAAGGUAAUAUUCAGCUGAUUCUGGUACAUGUUAAGUGGUCUUCACUUUUGUUCAGAUCUGAUUUGUGCUGUACCAAUUUGUUCCUGAAAAUGACAUUAGCUCUUGGUGGAACAAAAUGUUUUAAUGUUUUGUACAUAAGGAAACUGGCCAACACCCCCCACCCCACACACACACACAAAACCCAACAACAUCAAUGAACUGCUUCCAAAAAGGAAAACACAAAACAUAACCCCAGGUGAGGAAAGUAUAUCUGUUGUUUAGUGGGUGUAUUCUCUUUCGCUGGAGAGGUAACGCCUAUUAAUAUGACUCAAAGUUAUGAUGUGGGUGUGCACUGAAAGGAGAAUAGACACUUGUGUCAUGUGCUCACUCAUAUGAAAUGAAUACCAAUACAUUGUAUUCAAGUC
Long non-coding RNA from Mauremys mutica (yellowpond turtle), 1102 nucleotides. RefSeq lists it as uncharacterized. The record is from RefSeq and is a predicted model, not a curated record. The transcript is spliced from 3 exons. Lineage: Eukaryota; Metazoa; Chordata; Testudines; Geoemydidae.